CUAAGGUUUCCAGAGUAAAGCUGAUCUGCUCUGGGUAAGUCGGGGCCUAAGGAGAGGUCGCAAGACGUAUCCGAUGGACAACAGGUUUAGAUUCCUGUACCGCAUAUAAACAGAACUGUGGGGACGCAUGUGGAAAGCAUAAGCCGGGAAUGGAAAGACCGGUACAAGCGAGGUAGGUGUGUGACAGGCAAAUCCGUCACAUAAGCCGAAGACGUGAUGUGGAGCGAAAUUAAGUAGUGAAGUAUGUGAGCCAUGUGCCGAGAAAAGCCGCUAUUGUUUUAUAUGUGCCCGUACCGUAAACCGACACAGGUGGAUGAGGAGAGAAUCCUAAGGCCGACGGAAGAAGCAUUGUUAAGGAAUUCGGCAAAAUGACCCCGUAACUUCGGGAGAAGGGGUGCCCACUGAAUGGUGGGCCGCAGAGAAUAGGCUCAAGCAACUGUUUAGCAAAAACACAGGUCUAUGCGAAACCGAAAGGUGAAGUAUAUGGGCUGACGCCUGCCCGGUGCUGGAAGGUUAAGAGGAGAGGUUAGCGCAAGCGAAGCUUUGAACUUAAGCCCCAGUAAACGGCGGCCGUAACAAUAACGGUCCUAAGGUAGCGAAAUUCCUUGUCGGGUAAGUUCCGACCCGCACGAAAGGCGUAAUGAUUUGAGCACUGUCUCGACAAUGCAUCCGGUGAAAUUGAAGUACCAGUGAAGAUGCUGGUUACCCGCGCCAGGACGGAAAGACCCCAUGGAGCUUUACUCCAGUUUGAUACUGGGAUUCGGUACUGCACGUACAGGAUAGGUGGGAGACUGAGAACUAUGGACGCCAGUCUGUAGGGAGUCGCUGUUGGGAUACCACCCCUGUAGUACUGGGUUUCUAACCAUCUGCCGUGAUCCGGCAGUGGGACAAUGUCAGGCGGGGAGUUUGACUGGGGCGGUCGCCUCCGAAAGGGUAUCGGAGGCGCUCAAAGGUUCCCUCAGAAUGGUCGGAAACCAUUUGAAGAGUGCAAAGGCAGAAGGGAGCUUGACUGCGACACCGACGGGUGGAGCAGGUACGAAAGUAGGACUUAGUGAUCCGGUGGUAUAAAGUGGGAUUGCCAUCGCUCAACGGAUAAAAGCUACCCUGGGAUAACAGGCUUAUCACUCCCAAGAGUUCACAUCGACGGAGUGGUUUGGCACCUCGAUGUCGGCUCAUCGCAUCCUGGGGCUGUAGCAGGUCCCAAGGGUUGGGCUGUUCGCCCAUUAAAGCGGUACGCGAGCUGGGUUCAGAACGUCGUGAGACAGUUCGGUCCCUAUCCGGCGCGGGCGGAGGAUAUUUGAGAGGAGCUGUCCUUAGUACGAGAGGACCGGGACGGGCGGACCACUGGUGUAUCUGUUGUCGACCAACGGCAUGGCAGAGUAGCCAAGUCUGGAAGGGAUAAACGCUGAAGGCAUCUAAGCGUGAAGCCCCCCUCAAGAUGAGAUAUCCCUCCUUCGGGAGUAAGACCCCUUGAAGACUACAAGGUAGAUAGGGCAGAGGUGGAAGUGUGGCAACACAUGGAGCUGACUGUUACUAAUAGGUCGAGGGCUUGGC
RNAcentral lists this ribosomal RNA (1554 nucleotides) under metagenome. Its description in RNAcentral is "bacterial LSU rRNA". It matches the Rfam family "Bacterial large subunit ribosomal RNA", at positions 1345 to 2925 of the family's 2925-position model. The record is from RNAcentral.